This 513-nucleotide ribosomal RNA is filed under the name uncultured Paraglomus. RNAcentral's name for it is "SSU rRNA". It matches the Rfam family "Eukaryotic small subunit ribosomal RNA", at positions 569 to 1085 of the family's 1831-position model. The record is from RNAcentral. RNAcentral also lists the same sequence under 1 other name. Lineage: Eukaryota; Fungi; Glomeromycota; Glomeromycetes; Paraglomerales; Paraglomeraceae.
AGCAGCCGCGGUAAUUCCAGCUCCAAUAGCGUAUAUUAAAGUUGUUGCAGUUAAAAAGCUCGUAGUUGAAUUUCAGGCCUGGCUGGACGGUCCGCCCUUCGGGUGAGUACUGUCUGUGGUCGGGUCCUACCUUCUGGCGAAGCGUCAUGGCCUUAACCGGCCGUGGCGGGGAACCAGGACUUUUACUGUGAAAAAAUUAGAGUGUUCAAAGCAGGCAAAUCGCUUGGAUACAUUAGCAUGGAAUAAUGGAAUAGGACAAUGGUUCUAUUUGUUGGUUUCUAGGACCGUUGUAAUGAUUAAUAGGGAUAGUUGGGGGCAUUAGUAUUCAAUUGUCAGAGGUGAAAUUCUUGGAUUUAUUGAAGACUAACUACUGCGAAAGCAUUUGCCAAGGAUGUUUUCAUUAAUCAAGAACGAAAGUUAGGGGAUCGAAGACGAUCAGAUACCGUCGUAGUCUUAACCAUAAACUAUGCCGACUAGGAAUCGGGCGAUGUUGACAAAAUGACGCGCUCGGCA